Molecule: ribosomal RNA, 864 nt
Filed under: uncultured Bacteroidota bacterium
Lineage: Bacteria; Pseudomonadati; Bacteroidota
Description: bacterial SSU rRNA
Rfam family: Bacterial small subunit ribosomal RNA
Source: RNAcentral
AGUCGAGGGGUAUGUUCUUCGGAAUUAGAGACCGGCGCACGGGUGCGUAACGCGUAUGCAAUCUACCUUUCACAGAGGGAUAGCCCAGAGAAAUUUGGAUUAAUACCUCAUAGUAUAGUGAUACCGCAUGGUACUACUAUUAAAGUCACAACGGUGAAAGAUGAGCAUGCGUCCCAUUAGCUAGUUGGUAAGGUAACGGCUUACCAAGGCUACGAUGGGUAGGGGUCCUGAGAGGGAGAUCCCCCACACUGGUACUGAGACACGGACCAGACUCCUACGGGAGGCAGCAGUGAGGAAUAUUGGACAAUGGGCGCAAGCCUGAUCCAGCCAUGCCGCGUGCAGGAUGACGGUCCUAUGGAUUGUAAACUGCUUUUGUACGGGAAGAAACACUCCUUCGUGAAGGAGCUUGACGGUACCGUAAGAAUAAGGAUCGGCUAACUCCGUGCCAGCAGCCGCGGUAAUACGGAGGAUCCAAGCGUUAUCCGGAAUCAUUGGGUUUAAAGGGUCCGUAGGCGGUUUAGUAAGUCAGUGGUGAAAGCCCAUCGCUCAACGGUGGAACGGCCAUUGAUACUGCUAGACUUGAAUUAUUAGGAAGUAACUAGAAUAUGUAGUGUAGCGGUGAAAUGCUUAGAGAUUACAUGGAAUACCAAUUGCGAAGGCAGGUUACUACUAAUGGAUUGACGCUGAUGGACGAAAGCGUGGGUAGCGAACAGGAUUAGAUACCCUGGUAGUCCACGCCGUAAACGAUGGAUACUAGCUGUUGGGAGCGAUCUCAGUGGCUAAGCGAAAGUGAUAAGUAUCCCACCUGGGGAGUACGUUUCGCAGAAAUGAACUCAAAGGAAUUGACGGGGGCCCGCACAAGCG